Long non-coding RNA from Myotis brandtii (Brandt's bat), 1378 nucleotides. RefSeq lists it as uncharacterized. The record is from RefSeq and is a predicted model, not a curated record. NCBI's taxonomy places the organism in Eukaryota, Metazoa, Chordata, Mammalia, Chiroptera, Vespertilionidae. The transcript is spliced from 3 exons.
CGUGGAAACCUGCGCCCCGGAGGCGGGGGCCAGCCCUGCUGCCCGCCCCGCGCCUGUCUCAUUCAUCUGGGGCGUGAUUGCACUGACUUGGGUGCACCUGGGGUGGCAUCUCAGGUUAUAGAUUUGGCUACAAUGGCAAUCAGUAACAAAGACCCCAUGACCACUCUCCUACAAUGUGACUUUUCAUUGGGGGGCAAAAUAAUGUCACCCGUUUGUCUGUAGACCCACACUCUCCGGAUCGCUCACCCUCCGACAAGCUCACGGGAGCACACAGAGGUCGGUGCAUUUGCACUCCCAGUCGCAAAUCAAGAAGUAAUUAUAGAAGAAGCCUUCUAGCGCCUCACACCGUCACACCUCCGACAGGAGCCGUGAAACGGCAAGAAACAGUUGCCCCAGCUGUGUCUGCAAACCGACUGCACCGGAAGCAGAGACCAGAGGGUCCGCACUUGUCCCUGGACACGAGGCAUGGCCAGGUCUAGAUGAUCUGUCUGUGCUUAAAAGCGCACAGAAAAAGAAACAAGAGAAAGAUGGAGAGGAGAAAGGGGAGCUGUUCAAAUUCCAAACAUCUGGCAAAGAGCCCAGCUCCAGCUCACCCUACCUUCAGAUGAUGAUACUGAAAGUAACCCCAUCUCGGAAGUUCAUGGAAUUAACAAAGAGGAAGGGGAAGGGGCAGGGACAUUGAUGUCUAUUGAAAGCUUUAUUUAUUCCAGGCUGUGGGCUGGGGAUCUAGCGUACCACAAUCUCAUUAACCUUCGUGACAAUCCUAUCACCAUCACUUCAGCUGCAUUAUCUACUGCAGCUUCGUAAACCACCCUGAGCCUCAGUGGCUCCCAGUUCUGUGGGUGGACCGUGCUCAGCUGGGCAGUUCUCGCCUGGGGCCUCUCAUGUGGUCGCUGUCAGAUGGCAGCUGGGGUUGGAGUCAUCCGAAUGCUCACCUGGGCUGGACACCACGACGGCUUCUUCACGCACACGACUGCAUUUCAGCUGGAACGCCAGGACAGCUGGGACUCGCCAGCCUCUCCCUCUAUCCGGCCUCUCCAAUGGCAACUCAGGCGCCUUCUUAGCAUGGUGGGCGACUUCCUGUAGAGUGAGAAUUCUAAGACAGGAACCAGAGGCUGCCAGUCUGGUGAGGCUCCUGCAUGGAAGCUGCCUCUUUCCAGAAGGACAGACGUUGGUGUGGUCGGCAGCUUCCCAACACCUGGUCCAUUGCUCCUUUGCCUUUCGUGGUAGUUUGGAGAGGACUGACGGACUGGUAAGGAAAGGGUGGCUGCCUGUGAUGUGGAUUGUAAAGGAGCAGGAAACAGGAAGUGUGCCUCCUUCAUCUGUUUGUAAUCAUCUUUUUCAAUUUUAAAAAAAUUAAAAAGAACCGUGAUUUGGA